Molecule: unclassified non-coding RNA, 285 nt
Filed under: Malbranchea sp.
Lineage: Eukaryota; Fungi; Ascomycota; Eurotiomycetes; Onygenales; Malbrancheaceae
Description: partial contains 5.8S ribosomal RNA, internal transcribed spacer 2, and large subunit ribosomal RNA
Rfam family: 5.8S ribosomal RNA (bases 1-71)
Source: RNAcentral
GUGAGUCAUCGAAUCUUUGAACGCACAUUGCGCCCCCUGGUAUUCCGGGGGGCAUGCCUGUCCGAGCGUCAUUGCAACCUUCAAGCGCGGCUUGUGUGUUGGGCCUCGUCCCCCGUGGACGGGCCCGAAAGGCAGUGGCGGCGCCCGAUCCGGUGCCUGAGCGUAUGGGGAACUUCUCCGCUCUUCAAGGCCCAAUCGGCGCUGGUCGAUAACUAAAUUUUUACCGGUUGACCUCGGAUCAGGUAGGGAUACCCGCUGAACUUAAGCAUAUCAAUAAGCGGAGGA